GGCCUCGCUAUGUCUGCCAUUUUCAAUAUUCAGAGUCUAUUGACUGUAAUCUUGCUGCUUAUAUGUACCUGUGCUUAUAUUCGAUCCUUGGCACCCAGCCUCCUGGACAGAAAUAAAACUGGAUUGUUGGGUAUAUUUUGGAAGUGUGCCAGAAUUGGUGAACGGAAGAGUCCUUAUGUUGAAGUAUGCUGUAUAGUAAUGGCCUUCAGCAUCCUCUUCAUACAGUAGCUGGGGAAAAUGCCAGAAUUUAAUUGCCAUCAGAUUUCAUUGUGAACAAGGACUUACUGCAGAAAAUAAUGGAAAGGAUGUUUAACUCUUUUAUCUCCGAACAUUGAAUGAGAUAAAUUUCCAGAUGCUGUUCUCUAUUUUAAUGUUAUUGGACCAAUAUUCUGUAUAAAUAAUUAAGAUGUAACCAUUUAAUAGUCUGUAACAAUGAACCUCAGUACUGUCACUACAAUAUUACAUUCUG
Molecule: long non-coding RNA, 469 nt
Filed under: Homo sapiens (human)
Lineage: Eukaryota; Metazoa; Chordata; Mammalia; Primates; Hominidae
Description: non-protein coding lnc-ZNF333-4:2
Source: RNAcentral